This 61-nucleotide microRNA precursor is filed under the name Melibe leonina. RNAcentral's name for it is "microRNA mle-mir-12098 precursor". The record is from miRBase by way of RNAcentral. Lineage: Eukaryota; Metazoa; Mollusca; Gastropoda; Nudibranchia; Dendronotidae.
UCGGAUUUGCUGGUCGGACAUAUUCUGUGACGGUAUUUGUGUCCGAUCUACAAACCCGCGU